CCUACGGGAGGCAGCAGUAGGGAAUCUUCCGCAAUGGACGAAAGUCUGACGGAGCAACGCCGCGUGAACGAUGAAGGCCUUCGGGUCGUAAAGUUCUGUUGUCAGGGAAGAACAAGUACCGGAGUAACUGCCGGUACCUUGACGGUACCUGACCAGAAAGCCACGGCUAACUACGUGCCAGCAGCCGCGAUAAUACGUAGGUGGCAAGCGUUGUCCGGAAUUAUUGGGCGUAAAGCGCGCGCAGGCGGUUCCUUAAGUCUGAUGUGAAAGCCCCCGGCUCAACCGGGGAGGGUCAUUGGAAACUGGGGAACUUGAGUGCAGAAGAGGAGAGCGGAAUUCCACGUGUAGCGGUGAAAUGCGUAGAGAUGUGGAGGAACACCAGUGGCGAAGGCGGCUCUCUGGUCUGUAACUGACGCUGAGGCGCGAAAGCGUGGGGAGCGAACAGGAUUAGAUACCCUGGUAGUCCACGCCGUAAACGAUGAGUGCUAAGUGUUAGAGGGUUUCCGCCCUUUAGUGCUGCAGCUAACGCAUUAAGCACUCCGCCUGGGGAGUACGGCCGCAAGACUAAAACUCAAAGGAAUUGACGG
Molecule: ribosomal RNA, 587 nt
Filed under: uncultured bacterium
Lineage: Bacteria
Description: bacterial SSU rRNA
Rfam family: Bacterial small subunit ribosomal RNA
Source: RNAcentral